GAUGAAGAACGUAGCGAAAUGCGAUAAGUAAUGUGAAUUGCAGAAUUCAGUGAAUCAUCGAAUCUUUGAACGCACAUUGCGCCCCUUGGCAUUCCGAGGGGCAUGCCUGCUCGAGCGUCAUUAUAACCCCUCAAGCUCAGCUUGGUGUUGGGGCCUGCUGCACUGGCAGCCCUUAAAAUCAGUGGCGGCGCCAUCUGGCUCUAAGCGUAGUAAUUCUUCUCGCUAUGGAGUCCUGGUGGAUGCUUGCCAUCAACCCCCAAUUUUUCUAUGGUUGACCUCGGAUCAGGUAGGGAUACCCGCUGAACUUAAGCAUAUCAAUAAGCGGAGGA
RNAcentral lists this unclassified non-coding RNA (329 nucleotides) under soil metagenome. Its description in RNAcentral is "partial contains 5.8S ribosomal RNA, internal transcribed spacer 2, and large subunit ribosomal RNA". The stretch from base 1 to 120 matches the Rfam family "5.8S ribosomal RNA", at positions 35 to 154 of the family's 154-position model. The record is from RNAcentral.